GCCGGGCUCAUCAACGAGAGCCUGUAACCAAAGUUGGGGCAACAAAGUGGUGGGACAUUGGUUCGGCCCAUUGUGUCGGGCCCGGUGUAGCUUUCUUCUGGCCUGCCCAGUCCAAGCCGAGAGUUGGGCCAUGUGACUUGAGCGAAGGCCCAAGUUUCGUGGCCCCUAGAGUGGAGGGUACAGCGUGAGGCUGGCUUCACAGAGCAGCGCAAACCUCCCGCUCCCGGCGGUGGAAGGAUAACAGGCUUGUGCUACUCGGAUCCAACAUGGGCACAAUGAGCCGUUCUCAAUUGAACAACCACUUUU
Molecule: signal recognition particle RNA, 306 nt
Filed under: Morus notabilis
Lineage: Eukaryota; Viridiplantae; Streptophyta; Magnoliopsida; Rosales; Moraceae
Description: Plant signal recognition particle RNA
Rfam family: Plant signal recognition particle RNA
Source: Rfam by way of RNAcentral